This 144-nucleotide non-coding RNA is filed under the name uncultured Desulfovibrio sp. Its description in RNAcentral is "FMN riboswitch (RFN element)". It matches the Rfam family "FMN riboswitch aptamer (RFN element)". From Rfam's summary of the family: The RFN element is a highly conserved domain that is found frequently in the 5'-untranslated regions of prokaryotic mRNAs that encode for flavin mononucleotide (FMN) biosynthesis and transport proteins. This element is a metabolite-dependent riboswitch that directly binds FMN in the absence of proteins. In Bacillus subtilis, the riboswitch most likely controls gene expression by causing premature transcription termination within the 5' untranslated region of the ribDEAHT operon and precluding access to the ribosome-binding site of ypaA mRNA. Lineage: Bacteria; Pseudomonadati; Thermodesulfobacteriota; Desulfovibrionia; Desulfovibrionales; Desulfovibrionaceae. The record is from RNAcentral.
UCUCAGGGCGGGGUGCAAGUCCCCACCGGCGGUGAUGGACAGGGGCCUGUGGCCCGUGCCACAAGCCCGCGAGCGCCUCGGCACGAGGGUCAGCAGAGCCGGUGAGAAUCCGGCGCCGACGGUAACAGUCCGGAUGAAAGAGAU